This 528-nucleotide long non-coding RNA is filed under the name Mytilus galloprovincialis (Mediterranean mussel). Lineage: Eukaryota; Metazoa; Mollusca; Bivalvia; Mytilida; Mytilidae. The record is from RNAcentral.
UUUUUGGUUCCAUAUGAUUUUUUUUUUGGAUACACUGUAUCAUGUGUAUAUCAGUUUUUUUUUAAUAUUUUUUCUUUUAUGCUAGAAUUGUACAUGAAAGUUGCACCACCCUGACACAGGUUUAUUUUUCAAUGUAUGUAGUGUGUUUUGUUGCUUGCUGUUUAUCAUAUUUGUUUGUAUGUAGCUUUUGUAUAUAAAUCAAACUAUCAUCACUGUAGGGCUUCUCGUCUGUUUUUUUUUACAUUGACGGUGUUGCGUGCAAGGCAGAACCCUUUAUAUAGGGUGCUCAUUAUGAAGUAUUAGUUUUGAUCAUUGUUGAAGGGUGUGGAGUAACCUAUUAUAUAGCUAACAAGCACAUCACUUGGUCUACAUGGUCUAUGGUUGAUGGUUGUCUCAUCAAAAUUCAUACCACAUCUCCUUAUUCAUUUGUUAUUCAAAUUAAUGAAAACCAUGAAAAUGUGCUCAUUGUUAGAUAAAGCCGGCCAAUCAAACAUGUACACCUAACAUUCAUGUCAUAUGCCAAAAAAA